RNAcentral lists this ribosomal RNA (253 nucleotides) under uncultured bacterium. Its description in RNAcentral is "partial 16S ribosomal RNA". It matches the Rfam family "Bacterial small subunit ribosomal RNA", at positions 524 to 776 of the family's 1533-position model. The record is from RNAcentral.
UACGGAGGGGGCUAGCGUUGUUCGGAAUUACUGGGCGUAAAGCGCACGUAGGCGGCUUUGUAAGUUAGAGGUGAAAGCCCGGGGCUCAACUUCGGAAUUGCCUUUAAGACUGCAUCGCUAGAAUCAUGGAGAGGUUAGUGGAAUUCCGAGUGUAGAGGUGAAAUUCGUAGAUAUUCGGAAGAACACCAGUGGCGAAGGCGACUAACUGGACAUGUAUUGACGCUGAGGUGCGAAAGCGUGGGGAGCAAACAGG